RNAcentral lists this non-coding RNA (28 nucleotides) under Mus musculus (house mouse). The record is from RNAcentral. Lineage: Eukaryota; Metazoa; Chordata; Mammalia; Rodentia; Muridae.
CNCCUGUGUCAUGAGAGGCCUUAGGGAG